This 402-nucleotide ribosomal RNA is filed under the name uncultured bacterium. RNAcentral describes it as "bacterial SSU rRNA". It matches the Rfam family "Bacterial small subunit ribosomal RNA", at positions 29 to 478 of the family's 1533-position model. The record is from RNAcentral.
AACGAACGCUGGCGGCGUGCCUAACACAUGCAAGUCGAACGAGACCUUCGGGUCUAGUGGCGCACGGGUGCGUAACGCGUGGGAACCUGCCUUUAGGUUCGGAAUAACUCAGAGAAAUUUGAGCUAAUACCGGAUAAUGUCUUCGGACCAAAGAUUUAUCGCCUUUAGAUGGGCCCGCGUAAGAUUAGCUAGUUGGUGGGGUAAAGGCCUACCAAGGCGACGAUCUUUAGCUGGUCUGAGAGGAUGAUCAGCCACACUGGGACUGAGACACGGCCCAGACUCCUACGGGAGGCAGCAGUGGGGAAUAUUGGACAAUGGCGAAAGCCUGAUCAGCAAUAGCCGCGUGAGUGAUGAAGGCCUUAGGUUGUAAAGCUCUUUUACCCGAGAUGAUAAUGACAGUAU